GUUGCGGUGUGCCGUGGGGGGACGACCCGGACAUGGCGCCGCGUCCCGCCGCCCGUCGUCGGCCCUCGGGCUCCCGACGCGGGGCAGCACGGUGGAGUAUCCGCUGAGGGAAGGGACCAGGUGCAGCCUGGAAACGGGGGCUCCUUGGAUUGUGUUCAGGCUGUUCCUGACAACAGCAGGUCAAAGUGUCAUCCUUGUGCAUAUUGUGAUUGUAUGUCUCUUGAGCAAGAAAUGGAAUUGCUGAGCUGCCCUGUGAAAGCCAUCAAGUAAGGCCAUGCAUGUUGUUUCUUCUUUCUUAGACCAGGCUGGCCUCGAACUCACAGAGAUCCACCUGCCUCUGCCUCCAGAGUGCUGGGAUUAAAGGCGUGCACCACCAUGCACCUGGCUCCAUGCUGUAUCUUGAAGAACUCAAAUGAUCAGGAAUGAUGGAUGGCCCAUGCUGUGAUCCCAGCACUUGGGAGGUGGAGGGAGAAGGAUAAGAAGUUCGAGGUCAUCUUCCACUACAGGGUGGCAUGAGACCCUGUCUAAAAGAAAAGCCAAUACAAAUAAAAGAACUUAAAUAAGCA
Mesocricetus auratus (golden hamster) is the source of this 566-nucleotide long non-coding RNA. RefSeq lists it as uncharacterized. The transcript has 2 exons. The record is from RefSeq and is a predicted model, not a curated record. Lineage: Eukaryota; Metazoa; Chordata; Mammalia; Rodentia; Cricetidae.